AUGGCGCCAGCGGCUCCGUCGCCCCCCUUCCGCCGCCCGGGCCAUAGCCAAAUCGACCUGCCGCCGCGGGACCCUCUGCUCGCGGGAUGCGCCGGCGGCGUUCGGCGGGCGGGAUCCUCCUCCGCAAUCCCCAGCCAGUCCGCUCGAGUCGACCGCCGCCGAGGACCUGUCUCUCCACCGGCGUCUGAGGCUACGCCGGCGGCAUCGCCGGAGCUUCCGGAGGACAUCCUGAUGAUAGUCCUCGCCACACUCGAGAUCCCCGACCUCAUGCGCGCCGGCUGCGUCUGCGCCUCGUGGCGCUCUGCGUACACCGCACUGCGCAGCCUCGACAAGCACAAGCAGGCCCAGACGCCGUGCCUGCUCUACACCUCUGAAUCUGCUGGUGAGCAUGUUGCGUGCCUCUACAGCCUCGUGGAGAAGAGGGUCUACAGGCUGACCCUCCCGGAGCCGCCUCUCCGCCACCGGUUCAUCAUCGGGUCCUCGUUGGGCUUCCUGGUCACCGUCGACGAUAGAUCAGAAAUGCACCUCGUCAAUCCUAUUACUGGCCAGCAGAUUGCUCUCCCUUCAGUGACCACCAUUGAGUACAUGAAGCCCAUCUUUGAUGACACGGGUUCGGUCCACGAGUAUGAAUACCCAAGUCACUCUGCAAGACGGGCUUUCUUCACGCCGUCGAUCAUGCCUCGUUGUGAGCUGCGGGAAUGCUUCCAGUUCAAGGCGUUUGUGUUCCAUGACACAUCGGCAGGAAGCUACAUCGCGGUGCUCAUCCACAGGCCAUACACUCACCUAUCCUUUGCAAGGGUUGGGGAUGACAAGUGGACCUUGCUGGAACCACACUGUGACUACCAGGACUGCACCUACAAGGAUGGGUUGCUGUAUGCAGCGAGUACGACGGGAGAAAUUCAUGCCUUCGAUCUUAGUGGUCCUGAUGUUACAAUGAAGAUUAUCAAGGGGGGAGACGAGGGCUUUGAUCCCGAUGCUGUACACAUUGUUCAGGCUCCAUGGGGUGGUCUGCUGCUUGUUUCAAGAUUAAAGGAGUUUGAUGAUCCUGAUGAAGACGUCGACCCUAAAAUACCAGUUCCGAAUACCAGGGAAAUUAAAUUACACAAAGUUGAUGAUGGUGCUGAGAGGCUUGUGGAAGUUGAUUGCUUGCCUGAGCAUGUGCUGUUUCUUGGGCUUAAUGAUUCACUUUGUCUCAGUGCCAUAGAUUACCCUGCUCUCAAGGGGAAUCAUGCCUACUUUACUGACGAUCAACAGUACAAUCAGGCUCGUAAGAGUAGUCGUCGUGACAUUGGAGUAGUUGGCUUUGGCAAUUAUAAUAGCAAGGAGGACCUUGUGUCUCCUCAGCUUUGGUCCAACUGGCCUUCUCCCGUGUGGAUUACACCCAGUCUUACUCUGAUGAAACUGCCGCCUAAUGACCGUUGGCUCAGUGGACCAUUGUGUGGACUCCCAAAGAUAGAAGAGGGCACCUUGAGGGGUCUCUUUGCCAACCUUGGGAUCCCAAUCAGCAUUGGUCCAACUGGGAUGCUCCAGUGUUUGAAGAAGUAG
This 1545-nucleotide ribosomal RNA is filed under the name Triticum aestivum (bread wheat). RNAcentral describes it as "partial small subunit ribosomal RNA". Lineage: Eukaryota; Viridiplantae; Streptophyta; Magnoliopsida; Poales; Poaceae. The record is from RNAcentral.